This 164-nucleotide ribosomal RNA is filed under the name uncultured bacterium. RNAcentral's name for it is "partial 16S rRNA". It matches the Rfam family "Bacterial small subunit ribosomal RNA", at positions 355 to 511 of the family's 1533-position model. The record is from RNAcentral.
UAGGGAAUCUUCCACAAUGGGCGAAAGCCUGAUGGAGCAACGCCGCGUGUGUGAUGAAGGGUUUCGGCUCGUAAAGCACUGUUGUAAGAGAAGAAUGACAUUGAGAGUAACUGUUCAAUGUGUGACGGUAUCUUACCAGAAAGGAACGGCUAAAUACGUGCCAC